This 434-nucleotide ribosomal RNA is filed under the name uncultured Oscillospiraceae bacterium. RNAcentral's name for it is "partial 16S ribosomal RNA". It matches the Rfam family "Bacterial small subunit ribosomal RNA", at positions 341 to 792 of the family's 1533-position model. Lineage: Bacteria; Bacillati; Bacillota; Clostridia; Eubacteriales; Oscillospiraceae. The record is from RNAcentral.
ACGGAAGGCAGCAGUGGGGAAUAUUGGGCAAUGGGGGUAACCCUGACCCAGCAACGCCGCGUGAAGGAAGAAGGCCUUCGGGUUGUAAACUUCUUUUACCAGGGACGAUAAUGACGGUACCUGGAGAAAAAGCAACGGCUAACUACGUGCCAGCAGCCGCGGUAAUACGUAGGUUGCAAGCGUUGUCCGGAUUUACUGGGUGUAAAGGGCGUGUAGGCGGAGCUGCAAGUCAGAUGUGAAAUCCCGGGGCUCAACCCCGGAACUGCAUUUGAAACUGUAGCCCUUGAGUAUCGGAGAGGCAAGCGGAAUUCCUAGUGUAGCGGUGAAAUGCGUAGAUAUUAGGAGGAACACCAGUGGCGAAGGCGGCUCGCUGGACGACAACUGACGCUGAGGCGCGAAAGCGUGGGGAGCAAACAGGAUUAGAUACCCUGGUA